UAGGGAAUCUUCGGCAAUGGGGGCAACCCUGACCGAGCAACGCCGCGUGAGUGAAGAAGGUUUUCGGAUCGUAAAGCUAUGUUGUAAGAGAAGAACGUGUGUGAGAGUGGAAAGUUCACACAGUGACGGUAACUUACCAGAAAGGGACGGCUAACUACGUGCCAGCAGCCGCGGUAAUACGUAGGUCCCGAGCGUUGUCCGGAUUUAUUGGGCGUAAAGCGAGCGCAGGCGGUUUAAUAAGUCUGAAGUUAAAGGCAGUGGCUUAACCAUAGUUCGCUUUGGAAACUGUUGAACUUGAGUGAAGAAGCGGAGAGUGGAAUUCCAUGUGUAGCGGAGAAAUGCGUAGAUAUAUGGAGGAACAACGGUGGCGAAAGCGGCUCUCUGGUCUGUAACUGACGCUGAGGCUCGAAAGCGUGGGGAGCAAACAGG
Molecule: ribosomal RNA, 429 nt
Filed under: bacterium
Lineage: Bacteria
Description: partial 16S ribosomal RNA
Rfam family: Bacterial small subunit ribosomal RNA
Source: RNAcentral